This 460-nucleotide ribosomal RNA is filed under the name uncultured bacterium. Its description in RNAcentral is "partial 16S ribosomal RNA". It matches the Rfam family "Bacterial small subunit ribosomal RNA", at positions 338 to 795 of the family's 1533-position model. The record is from RNAcentral.
CCUACGGGUGGCCGCAGUGAGGAAUAUUGGUCAAUGGACGCAAGCCUGAACCAGCCAUGUCGCGUGAAGGAAGACGGCCCUAUGAGUUGUAAACCGCUUUUGUACGAGAGCAAAGGCAGACACGUGUAUCUGUAAGAAAGUUACCCGAGAAAAAGGAAUCGGCUACUUCGUGCCAGGAGCCGGGGGAAAUCGGAGGAUUUAAGGGUUUAUCGGAAUUAAUGGGUUUUAAGGGUUGGUAGGGGGGAAGGUAAAGUAGGGGGUAAAUUGUGGGGGUCAAAACCGGGCUUGCCGUUGAUACUGUUCGUCUAGAGAGUGCGAGAGGUAGGCGGAAUGUGUGGUGUAGCGGUGAAAUGCAUAGAGAUCAUGCAGAACACCGAUUGCGAAGGCAGCAUACCGGCCUUCAACUGACGUUGAGGCACGAAAGCGUGGGGAGCGAACAGGAUUAGAUACCCCUGUAGUC